Molecule: non-coding RNA, 914 nt
Organism: Vicugna pacos (alpaca)
Lineage: Eukaryota; Metazoa; Chordata; Mammalia; Artiodactyla; Camelidae
Source: RefSeq, a predicted model, not a curated record
UGGGAACUCUUUUGGGAAUGAAUGAUACCAGAAAAUCCCUGAAACAAGAUUCUUCAGACAGAGCCCUUUGCCUACCUGUUGUCCAAGGGCUGCCCUCUGAAGGUGAUGACCAUAAAGACAAGGUGGAUUUGUUACUGUGGUUGCCAUUACUUCUGCCACCAGCUUCUCCCAAACAAUGCUACAGUCUUCUUUACGCAUGGGAACUCUUCUCUCGCCUGUGUUGCAGUGGACACCUCCUGCAGAUAAGAAAUGCUUAACUGAGAAAUGCUCAUGUUGGGAUAUCAUCGAUGAGACUUUAAUUUGGGCAUGGUGACUGUUUCCCUUGCUUCCACUUGACUCAAUCCCAGGAGCCUCAGUAGAGGAACUAUUAUUGCACAAGAAACUCAAAAUGAUGGAAUUUCUCAGUGCUCCCAUAAAUAAAUUUAUAAUAUUCAUUUGCCAUGUGGUAAACUUAAAAAAUAAGAUCUAUUAAAUUUUUUUCAAAAAUUCAAAGCAUAUCUAGACAUCUAAUAUAUAAAUUAAGUGCCCUGCCCUACUCUCUCCCAAUCCUCUCAGAGUUUUCCUCUAUUAAGGGAGUUGUGUGCAUUCUUUAAUUAGAUAGAUGCGCACACACACACACAUGCACACACAAGCAAUUUUGGGGGAGUUCUGAAAGUGGAGCUAUAUUGUACACAUUGAGAUUUCCUUUCAUUUAACAGUUUUUUCAAUGCCCUUUUUCUGUUUCAAUAAUACAUAUCUGUGUCAUUGUUGAAUGACUGCAUGACUGUUCUGUAUAUGAAAAAUAAUUAAAUGUUUAAGCAUUUCUCAUUCAUAUAUAUUUAUGUUAGCACCAAAUUUCUGCGCAAUGAACUUCCCUAUAUAUCAAUUAUUUGCAUUUGUCUAUUAUAUCAUAAUAAAUUACUUAGCAGUUGAAA